GAUGAACGCUGGCGGCGUGCCUAAUACAUGCAAGUCGAGCGAACGGACGAGAAGCUUGCUUCUCUGAUGUUAGCGGCGGACGGGUGAGUAACACGUGGAUAACCUACCUAUAAGACUGGGAUAACUUCGGGAAACCGUAGCUAAUACCGGAUAAUAUUUUGAACCGCAUGGUUCAAAAGUGAAAGACGGUCUUGCUGUCACUUAUAGAUGGAUCCGCGCUGCAUUAGCUAGUUGGUAAGGUAACGGCUUACCAAGGCAACGAUGCAUAGCCGACCUGAGAGGGUGAUCGGCCACACUGGAACUGAGACACGGUCCAGACUCCUACGGGAGGCAGCAGUAGGGAAUCUUCCGCAAUGGGCGAAAGCCUGACGGAGCAACGCCGCGUGAGUGAUGAAGGUCUUCGGAUCGUAAAACUCUGUUAUUAGGGAAGAACAUAUGUGUAAGUAACUGUGCACAUCUUGACGGUACCUAAUCAGAAAGCCACGGCUAACUACGUGCCAGCAGCCGCGGUAAUACGUAGGUGGCAAGCGUUAUCCGGAAUUAUUGGGCGUAAAGCGCGCGUAGGCGGUUUUUUAAGUCUGAUGUGAAAGCCCACGGCUCAACCGUGGAGGGUCAUUGGAAACUGGAAAACUUGAGUGCAGAAGAGGAAAGUGGAAUUCCAUGUGUAGCGGUGAAAUGCGCAGAGAUAUGGAGGAACACCAGUGGCGAAGGCGACUUUCUGGUCUGUAACUGACGCUGAUGUGCGAAAGCGUGGGGAUCAAACAGGAUUAGAUACCCUGGUAGUCCACGCCGUAAACGAUGAGUGCUAAGUGUUAGGGGGUUUCCGCCCCUUAGUGCUGCAGCUAACGCAUUAAGCACUCCGCCUGGGGAGUACGACCGCAAGGUUGAAACUCAAAGGAAUUGACGGGGACCCGCACAAGCGGUGGAGCAUGUGGUUUAAUUCGAAGCAACGCGAAGAACCUUACCAAAUCUUGUCAUCCUUUGACAACUCUAGAGAUAGAGCCUUCCCCUUCGGGGGACAAAGUGACAGGUGGUGCAUGGUUGUCGUCAGCUCGUGUCGUGAGAUGUUGGGUUAAGUCCCGCAACGAGCGCAACCCUUAAGCUUAGUUGCCAUCAUUAAGUUGGGCACUCUAAGUUGACUGCCGGUGACAAACCGGAGGAAGGUGGGGAUGACGUCAAAUCAUCAUGCCCCUUAUGAUUUGGGCUACACACGUGCUACAAUGGACAAUACAAAGGGCAGCGAAACCGCGAGGUCAAGCAAAUCCCAUAAAGUUGUUCUCAGUUCGGAUUGUAGUCUGCAACUCGACUACAUGAAGCUGGAAUCGCUAGUAAUCGUAGAUCAGCAUGCUACGGUGAAUACAUUCCCGGGUCU
RNAcentral lists this ribosomal RNA (1372 nucleotides) under uncultured bacterium. Its description in RNAcentral is "bacterial SSU rRNA". It matches the Rfam family "Bacterial small subunit ribosomal RNA", at positions 28 to 1381 of the family's 1533-position model. The record is from RNAcentral.